Long non-coding RNA from Drosophila teissieri, 824 nucleotides. RefSeq lists it as uncharacterized. NCBI's taxonomy places the organism in Eukaryota, Metazoa, Arthropoda, Insecta, Diptera, Drosophilidae. The transcript has 2 exons. The record is from RefSeq and is a predicted model, not a curated record.
AUUUGUUUGUCAGGUCUAUGAUCUACUUUCGAGAAACCACAACUCAGGCACAUGCCACACAUUGCAACACAUUUUCCGGGCUUACGAAUUACAGCUGCAUGUGUGUCUGCGGUUUCGGAUCAGUAAACAGAAAAGAAAACUUUUAUGAUGGACAUGUUAAAUAAGAUCUCGGACCACCAAGUGCUAACCAAGCGAUUGCCCAAUCGGCAAACCCAUCGGAUCCGUUGGCAGCCGUUCAAUUAACGUUUGUCUAAGAAAUUGUGGCACUUUGUGGUUAUGCCGGGUGAGCAUGACUGGACUAAUUUCCCUGUGGCCAAACUGCAGGAGGGGAAGACGCAUGGCCAAUGGACAUCUCAUGAGGUACUGCUGCUGCUGCUGCUAACUUUGGCCAACUUGUUGGGCAAUUGUGCGUGUAAUUUUGGGCGAAAACCAGUUGACCAAUGCAUCCGAUUUCAGCACAAGAGCAAGUCAAGCGGAGAUUGAUGCGAUAACAAGCGCAGAUUCCUCGACCAGCCUCAAAAACUAUUUACGACCGAAAAAAAAGCUGACCAACAAAUAAAAUUAGCUGCCGCACAGCCCUUUAUUUUUAAAGGCCUUGCGUGCCCCAAGUUAAUUACGGCCCCAAAGCAAAAAUAUAUAUUAACUGGCGACUGGACUCACUGGUGGCCCCUCUUUCAUGACCUACAUACUUGUUGACGGUCUUGCUCCCGAGCACGCAGACUCUACAUAUGUAUCUGAACACCUCCGUCUGUAUCUGACAGAUGCCUUUGGUUGGGUGAUGGUUACAUAACCGGCAAAUAAAACUAUUGUGGGAAAUAUACAAA